Sinocyclocheilus anshuiensis is the source of this 346-nucleotide long non-coding RNA. RefSeq lists it as uncharacterized. The record is from RefSeq and is a predicted model, not a curated record. The transcript has 3 exons. NCBI's taxonomy places the organism in Eukaryota, Metazoa, Chordata, Actinopteri, Cypriniformes, Cyprinidae.
UGAUUCUUGAGCGCGUUUCACUAGAGUUUCGUGAGAGGAACAGGUACAGCGAGUUGACGCGCUUCCGGACGCAGGUGAGAGAGUAGCCGUCAUGAACGCGAGGAUCAAAAAGAAAAGCGGCUGCCUCGCGCUCUUCGCUUGGACGCUGAGGUCUUGAUCCUUUGGGAUUUAAAAUAACCCUCCGCUGGUAUCACAGCAGUUUCUCAGGUUAAAGUUCCCUUCCAAAAUGUAAAAGGAUGACCACUGUGUAGUCACAAUUAACCAGACACACCCUUGAACCACUGUUACGCAGAUAUUCUCAGUCUGUGUUUGUUUUCACAUGUGCAUGUGUGGAGCAUCAUGAGUU